AAAAUGAGAAGAAAAAAUGGAAGAAGUCAUGAAAAGACCAAGUGUUUUUAAUUUUCUGGUCAAUCUCUUAAGAACUUUAAAGAAAUGGCUCGUGCUAGUUUUUGGAAAAAGGCAGAGAAAUUCCAGUUUCUGCCUGUCAUUUUUUCCUCCCCACUUGAAAUAAUUCAUCCAGCCCUAAAUUAAACCAUUUGAUUUGGAAACUGGGGCAGAAGGUGAGUGUUUGUGGGUGUGUUGGCAGGGGCACUCUGAGCAGAGAAAAGCUUGUGGAAGGGCAGGAUGCAGCCCCAGCACUGCAGGGUGAGCUAUACUGGGACUGCCUUUGGUAGAACCACGGCGGGUGCUGCUGGGGUGGACGAGGAGGUGAAGACGCCAGCCCAGAAAAUCUUUAAAUACUUCAACACAGGAGCUCAGCCCCCACUCCUGUUAAAUUGGGAGCUACUCCCAGCUGCUCUCCCUGGCUCUGAGGGAUGCCCUGCUCCCAGGGUCAGCAGCCUGGGCACCCAGCACCUCCCUGCCCUCUGUGCCUGGGUGUGUGCUGAACACCAAAGAGAGUGGAGGAGAAACCCUUGCUGCAGUGAGGGAUGAAGGUUUCUGCAUCCCCAUGCAUUCCUGCUCUGCACCACAUGAGUCUCUGCUCCAGGCUCUUGUCCUUGGGGUGGGCAGAGGCUUUGCUGAAUCCAUGGACUCCUGGUUGUCCACAGCAUCAGGCUCAAGACAGACCAAGCUGGGUCCUGGCACCAGAACAACCGUGACAGGUUGACAAGAUCCUGACAACCUUGCUCCAUUUGAGCCAUUACCCGGCACCAGCUGCUGAUUCCUCAUUUGCCUUCUCAAAACCAUCUCCUGAUAUGGAAACAGCUCAUCACUGCCUGUAACCAGCAGGAACACCAGAUCCUGCAGCAUCUGUUUUGGAC
Zonotrichia albicollis (white-throated sparrow) is the source of this 914-nucleotide non-coding RNA. The record is from RefSeq and is a predicted model, not a curated record. Lineage: Eukaryota; Metazoa; Chordata; Aves; Passeriformes; Passerellidae.